This 300-nucleotide ribosomal RNA is filed under the name uncultured Symbiobacterium sp. RNAcentral's name for it is "partial 16S ribosomal RNA". It matches the Rfam family "Bacterial small subunit ribosomal RNA", at positions 497 to 795 of the family's 1533-position model. The record is from RNAcentral. Lineage: Bacteria; Bacillati; Bacillota; Clostridia; Eubacteriales; Symbiobacteriaceae.
CUGACGUAGGGGCAGGAAGCCGCGGUAAGCUGGAUGGUGGUAGCGGUAAUCGUAGUUACUGGGCGUAAAGCGGGGGCAGGCGGGUUUGUAAGACAGACGUGAAAUCCCCGGGCGUAACCGGGGAACUGCGUUUGUGACUGCAAGACUAGAGUACGGCAGAGGGGGGUGGAAUUCCACGUGUAGCAGUGAAAUGCGUAGAGAUGUGGAGGAACACCAAUGGCGAAGGCAGCCCCCUGGGUCGAUACUGACGCUCAUGCACGAAAGCGUGGGUAGCAAACAGGAUUAGAUACCCCUGUAGUC